GAGGGUAUAGCUCAGUGGUAGAGCGUGUGCUUAGCAUGCAUGAGGUCCUGGGUUCAAUCCCCAGUACCUCUA
RNAcentral lists this transfer RNA (72 nucleotides) under Camelus bactrianus (Bactrian camel). It matches the Rfam family "tRNA". From Rfam's summary of the family: Transfer RNA (tRNA) molecules are approximately 80 nucleotides in length. RNAcentral also lists the same sequence under 2 other names. The record is from Rfam by way of RNAcentral. Lineage: Eukaryota; Metazoa; Chordata; Mammalia; Artiodactyla; Camelidae.